UUGCUAUGAUGUUACCACGGUUACGGGCAUCGGCAGAACUCACGUGAUUGUUUUGGGGGGUUUUGAGCAGUAUCCUGAGGAGCCCAUUAGUCACAGAAGAGCUUCCCGCCAGAACCGCCUGAUCCAGGUCCUCCUGCGUCUUCAGAGAACAUGUCCAUCUGCUGGCCAAAGGCCUCGGUGACUUUCUGCAGCAGCUCCUUGAUCUUCAGCGGCCUCUGAAAAGGGAUGAUUCUAGAAAAGUGGAGAAAGAACCGGAGAUUCAGCGAUCAUGAGGACGAUAAAGAGCUGGAGGGACGUGGAGGAGGGGUGAGAGGAUGCUGCUCCAACAGACAUGACUUUCCUUCCUCUACAUGUAAGCAAGCAGAAGGACAAAAACUCAGACAGACAGAAAAAAGCAAAAGCUUAGUCUCCUACAUGUCUGUGCUCUGCUCCUUCUGUCAUGAACAAAAUCACAGUACAAACAGAGAAAA
This is a long non-coding RNA of Oryzias melastigma (Indian medaka), 470 nucleotides long. RefSeq lists it as uncharacterized. The transcript is spliced from 3 exons. Lineage: Eukaryota; Metazoa; Chordata; Actinopteri; Beloniformes; Adrianichthyidae. The record is from RefSeq and is a predicted model, not a curated record.